AGCUUUAUAGUCAAUAAUGAUAUAAAAUUGCAAAUUUUAAGGAGUAAAUAUAAUAAUACUAAGGCUU
RNAcentral lists this transfer RNA (67 nucleotides) under Abisara fylla. RNAcentral describes it as "tRNA-Cys". Lineage: Eukaryota; Metazoa; Arthropoda; Insecta; Lepidoptera; Riodinidae. The record is from RNAcentral.